This 508-nucleotide ribosomal RNA is filed under the name uncultured bacterium. RNAcentral's name for it is "partial 16S ribosomal RNA". It matches the Rfam family "Bacterial small subunit ribosomal RNA", at positions 30 to 523 of the family's 1533-position model. The record is from RNAcentral.
AUUGAACGCUGGCGGCAUGCCUUACACAUGCAAGUCGAACGGCAGCGGGGGAGAAGCUUGCUUUUCCUGCCGGCGAGUGGCGAACGGGUGAGUAAUACAUCGGAACGUGCCCUGUAGUGGGGGAUAACUAGUCGAAAGAUUAGCUAAUACCGCAUACGACCUGAGGGUGAAAGUGGGGGACCGCAAGGCCUCAUGCUAUAGGAGCGGCCGAUGUCUGAUUAGCUAGUUGGUGGGGUAAAGGCCUACCAAGGCGACGAUCAGUAGCUGGUCUGAGAGGACGAUCAGCCACACUGGGACUGGGACACGGCCCAGACUCCUACGGGAGGCAGCAGUGGGGAAUUUUGGACAAUGGGCGAAAGCCUGAUCCAGCAAUGCCGCGUGUGUGAAGAAGGCCUUCGGGUUGUAAAGCACUCUUGUCCGGAAAGAAAUGGCUCUGGUUAAUACCUGGGGUCGAUGACGGUACCGGAAGAAUAAGGACCGGCUAACUACGUGCCAGCAGCCGCCGUAA